This is a non-coding RNA of Podarcis lilfordi (Lilford's wall lizard), 701 nucleotides long. The record is from the annotation of a GenBank genome assembly. Lineage: Eukaryota; Metazoa; Chordata; Lepidosauria; Squamata; Lacertidae.
CAACAGAAAAUUAAAAGCACAAUAAAACUUCAAACAUUAAAAACUCCCCUAAAAAUCUCAAGGGCUCCAACCCUGGCAAGAGUGAUCACCCUCGUUAAGAUACCCUGCCCUAGAUGCUGAUAAAUCUAAACAGUUUCUUAUAAUGGCCCCAGGAAGUUUCCUGCUAAUUUUGCUAUGUAGCCUAGUUGACUUCUUGAAUAUGGAGCUGUAGCUGGAUUAAGAACAUUGACCGCCCAGCUGUUGAUCUGGGCAAAUCUCAGAGCAUAAUAUACCUAUGAUAACUACACUCCCAGUUAAGUUUCCAAGUACCAUUCAAAGUGCUGUUUGUUUCUCUCUAAAGCCAUAAACUUUCAGCAUCCGCUAUGUCUCAGAAAGCAGACCUCAACCGUGCGAGGCCACCUUGCUUAUUCAGAUUAUCUAGGGGUUAUUCAAGCCCCUCCCACAAUCUAGUGCAUUUGGCUGGGCCUAUCAUGCUACACUGUUACAUCCACUAGGGGAAAUGCAACUAUAUCCCUCAAAGGACAAACUGUGAUUGGAGCACGCUUGGAGAUUGUGUAGGAAAGGCCUUGCAGAAGGUCUCUAGUCUAAAAAGGAUCUCAAUUCCAAGAAUCCUCAUCAAAAGUCAUACAUUUGCAUACCAGUUAAUAAAUAACCCAGAAGAUUGAUGCACUGGUGAUAUUUGGAACUGGCUCUAUCAUCAC